Molecule: ribosomal RNA, 508 nt
Filed under: Philopotamus montanus
Lineage: Eukaryota; Metazoa; Arthropoda; Insecta; Trichoptera; Philopotamidae
Description: bacterial SSU rRNA
Rfam family: Eukaryotic small subunit ribosomal RNA
Source: RNAcentral
UGUGUCCUGCGGCGUCGGUCUACCGAUUGCGGUACGACAGGCGCGUCUGCGGGGCUUCUCGCCGGUGCGUGUUCACCGCCGGCGCGUCGCCGUCUUCUCCUUUGUUGGGGUCGGCGGACGGCGUCGAGGCGGGCCCUCGCGGCUGUUUACUUUGAACAAAUUAGAGUGCUCAAAGCGGGCUAUUAUUUGCCUGAAUAUUGUGCGCAUGGAAUAAUAGAAUAGGACCUCGGUUCUGUUUUGUUGGCUUUCUGAUACCAGAGGUAAUGAUUAAUAGGGACAACUGGGGGCAUUCGUAUUGCGACGUUAGAGGUGAAAUUCUUGGAUCGUCGCAAGACGGACUAAAGCGAAAGCAUUUGCCAAAGGUGUUUUCAUUAAUCAAGAACGAAAGUUAGAGGUUCGAAGGCGAUUAGAUACCGCUGUAGUUCUAACCAUAAAUGAUGCCAGCCAGCGAUCCGCCGAAGUUUUUUUAUUUGAUUCGGUGGGCAGCUCCCGGGAAACCAAAGCUUUC